RNAcentral lists this ribosomal RNA (518 nucleotides) under uncultured bacterium. RNAcentral's name for it is "bacterial SSU rRNA". It matches the Rfam family "Bacterial small subunit ribosomal RNA", at positions 554 to 1071 of the family's 1533-position model. The record is from RNAcentral.
UUGGGCGUAAAGCGAGCGCAGACGGUUACUUAAGCAGGAUGUGAAAUCCCCGGGCUCAACCUGGGAACUGCGUUCUGAACUGGGUGACUAGAGUGUGUCAGAGGGAGGUAGAAUUCCACGUGUAGCAGUGAAAUGCGUAGAGAUGUGGAGGAAUACCGAUGGCGAAGGCAGCCUCCUGGGAUAACACUGACGUUCAUGCUCGAAAGCGUGGGUAGCAAACAGGAUUAGAUACCCUGGUAGUCCACGCCCUAAACGAUGUCAAUUAGCUGUUGGGCAACUUGAUUGCUUAGUAGCGUAGCUAACGCGUGAAAUUGACCGCCUGGGGAGUACGGUCGCAAGAUUAAAACUCAAAGGAAUUGACGGGGACCCGCACAAGCGGUGGAUGAUGUGGAUUAAUUCGAUGCAACGCGAAGAACCUUACCUGGUCUUGACAUGUACGGAAUCCUCCAGAGACGGAGGAGUGCCUUCGGGAGCCGUAACACAGGUGCUGCAUGGCUGUCGUCAGCUCGUGUCGUGAG